AUUGAACGCUGGCGGCAGGCCUAACACAUGCAAGUCGAGCGGAGCGGCUGACGGGUGAGUAAUGCCUAGGAAUCUGCCUUGUCGUGGUGGAUAACGUCCGGAAACGGGCGCUAAUACCGCAUACUAUCAGAUGAGCCUAGGUCGGAUGAGCUAGUUGGGGGGGUAAAGGCCUACCCAGGCGACGAUCCGUAACUGGUCUGAGAGGAUGAUCAGUCACACUGGAACUGGGACACGGUCCAGACUCCGACGGGAGGCAGCAGGGGGGAAGAUUGGACAAUGGGCGAAAGCCUGAUCUAGCCAUGCCGCGUGUGUGAAGAAGGUCUUCGGAUUGUAAAGCACUUUAAGUUGGGAGGCGUUACCAACAGAAUAAGCACCGGCUAACUUCGUGCCAGCAGCCGCGGUAAUUC
Molecule: ribosomal RNA, 407 nt
Filed under: uncultured bacterium
Lineage: Bacteria
Description: partial 16S ribosomal RNA
Rfam family: Bacterial small subunit ribosomal RNA
Source: RNAcentral